This 238-nucleotide ribosomal RNA is filed under the name uncultured bacterium. RNAcentral's name for it is "partial 16S ribosomal RNA". It matches the Rfam family "Bacterial small subunit ribosomal RNA", at positions 539 to 776 of the family's 1533-position model. The record is from RNAcentral.
CGUUGUUCGGAAUUACUGGGCGUAAAGGGCGCGUAGGCGGUGCUCUAAGUCGGAUGUGAAAACUCUGGGCUCAACCCAGAGCCUGCAUCCGAAACUGGAGUGCUAGAGUUCUGGAGGGGGUAGCGGAAUUCCUGGUGUAGCGGUGAAAUGCGUAGAUAUCAGGAGGAACACCGGUGGCGAAGGCGGCUACCUGGACAGAAACUGACGCUGAGGCGCGAAAGCUAGGGGAGCAAACAGG